RNAcentral lists this transfer RNA (73 nucleotides) under Rhynochetos jubatus (kagu). Its description in RNAcentral is "tRNA-Ser". It matches the Rfam family "tRNA". From Rfam's summary of the family: Transfer RNA (tRNA) molecules are approximately 80 nucleotides in length. Their secondary structure includes four short double-helical elements and three loops (D, anti-codon, and T loops). Lineage: Eukaryota; Metazoa; Chordata; Aves; Eurypygiformes; Rhynochetidae. The record is from RNAcentral.
AAGAGAGGAGCAUGAGUGGUUGAUGCGGCUGGCUUGAAACCAGUCUAUGAGGGUUCGAUUCCUUCCUUUCUUG